Molecule: long non-coding RNA, 1067 nt
Organism: Siniperca chuatsi (mandarin fish)
Lineage: Eukaryota; Metazoa; Chordata; Actinopteri; Centrarchiformes; Sinipercidae
Exons: 2
Source: RefSeq, a predicted model, not a curated record
CCAUCAUCUUCCUGCUGAACCACAUCUACACCCACCUGGACAAGCCGGCAAGCACGGCACUGAAGGCCGCUGUGGCCCCGCUGGAACAGGAGGUUGCCACGGCCUAGCAGGAGCAGAAGACUGCCGCAGCUCAGGAGGAACAGGUGUCGGCCGGGCUGCCGAAGGUUGAAAAAGGUGGCAGCUCUGGUGGCAGCUCUAUGGCGCUGGGCAGCUGAGACGACCACUUCUCCUUCUGUAUCCUCCACGGGACCCCGUGAAAAUAGCCAGUCGAGUACUCUCAAACAGUGAUAGCCGAAAGUCAGGGUGGCUCCUUGAACAGUUCAUUGCAGGCUCAAAGGAUUCGAGGCAGGUGGCGGGCUAGGCGGCUCUGGACAGGAAGACUGCAGGCUUCUGAACUCAAGCCUAAUUGACUGGGGUGCUGGCGGGUGCCUAGCAUGCUGGAAGCUAGCUGGCUCAGGAACUGAUGCUUCCAAGUGGCUGGCAGACUCCAAGCUAAUCCCAGCAUCUGAGUCACUGGGAGAAUCCAGGUAGGGUUGUAGGCUUUUCCUGAGGUUGGUAAUUACAGCUAAAUUCUCAGCCAUGACCAGCAUGUCCAAAAGCCUAGCCUUGACAAAACUGCUCUCUCCAUUAAAUCAUACACAGUCUGUGCUUAAUGUCACUGGAGCCCUCAAUGGCCUCUCAUGAAAAGAGCUCACCUCUUUAAGCUCCUCCAAGAGAGAUUUGAUGUCUGCUGGGUCCAUGUUUGGUCAGGUCUUACUGUUACAGUUCUGUUCAAAAGUGGACCCAGCAGACAAAAUACAUGGGAACUGGUAAAAUAUACAAAAGAUGACUUCAUCAGUUACUUCAGGAGGCAACACAAAACAACUAAGGGCCGAGGUUCAAAUGGGAAGGCACGAACACAAGGAACAAAUGCAGGACUGGGACACAAAUGCAGAUGACACCUGACAGAAGAAAGACACAUAGACUAAAGACACAAGAGGCCAAUUAACUAAUGUGACACAGGAAGUAAAGUACAAAACACACGGGGAGAGUAUUAAAAAUAAAACAGGAAUUACCUAAACACAAAC